UGUCCAUGUUGAAAAUGAAGAUAAAGGUGGGUGGAGUCUAAUCUGAUUCUGGCUCCGAGGCAGUCCGUUAUUAAGGAGAUAAAAUAAUACACGGAGUUUUACCUUCUUCAUUUAUAGAUUUAAACCGUCCUCAGCUUCAGGUGCGUCGUUUUCUAACCUUUGAGGAUGAAUCCAGUUUGGUUUAUCCUGUCGAUCAUACUCCUGCCACUGACAACUGUUCAAGCUGUCACCUACAAGAAACCAGGAGACACAGUUGUCCUUAGUCCAGGCUCUGUGGGUGCUACCAUCACCAGUAUAACAUGGAAAUAUGAUUCAAACCUGGCUGCAGAGUGGUACGGAGGAGACGCCAUUGACUUCUACCGAGACUUCAAAGGUCGCUGUCAACUCAAUACUGGAACUGGAGAGUUGAUCAUCCCAAAGCUGACACUAAAGGACAGUGGCAGCUACACACCAGAGAUCAACAACAGAGUCUUGGCUACAACUGAAAUCAAGAUUAUCUAUGACGUCCCUAAACCAACUAUCUCCAUGAGCUGUGACGAUAAAAAGACCCACUGUGUUCUCACCUGUAAAGGCAACACUACAGACUCUGGACCAGUCACCUACACCUGGUGGUCAGGUGAUGUGGUGAAGAGUAAAACCAAGGAGUUUAAAAUAACAAAGAAGAAUAAGGAGGCUUCAUUUGUCUGUACGGUGAAAAAUCCAGUCAACUCUGAAAGCAGCAAAGCAGUCGCCAACCCUUUAACCACCAACGAUGAAAAAGAAAAAGUCGACAACGCUUCCCCCACCGACGACACUCUGUUCUGGAUACGCGCAAUACUGGUGGCUUUGUUUCUGGUGGUGGGAGUUGGUGUUAUCGUCUUUUACACACACAAAGGAAACAAAGAUGUGACUUUUUUUUGACAGCAGCAGCAUGAUCAUUGGCUGUUACUUCUAUGUGCGCCUCAGUUCAAGAUGUCAGAUGGAGCUGAGAAGUUAACAAGUGUUGACCUUAAAGAAUCUCAGCAUGAGAUGAUCUGAGAGACCACAGAGACCAGAUCUGGAUUCAACAAACCUCAACUCUACACGGCUCAAACGUCCUGAUUAAUGUCAAGAAAAUGAACCUCAAGCUCAAAACAAAAUGGAAAAGUCCAGUUGUCUUUAAGCACUGAUUAUUUUAGAAGCUCUCACAGGCUAAGGCACACAUUAUAUUUCCAAAAUAAUCCAAGGAUUAUCAAAAACCCCUUUACAGAAAGAAUAUUCACUCUGGAGAGCCUUUAGACUGAUCUGAAUCUAAAAUCCCACCAAUCCGCAAGUGUUAACAGUUCUACUUUCCAUCUCACAUGACCACUACACCCGACUAUAAUCAUCUUAUCCAUCGUUGAAAGAAAAACUAUUAUACGCCACAUCAUGUGUGUACAUGCGUGUGUAAAUUUUGUGAUUUAUUUUACUGCAGCUAUUUAACAGGAUUCUUACAAUACUAAUAAGCGUUUCUCACUUAAUGUAGUUUCUGAUCAAUGCAAUAAAACUGAGCAGUGUCUGUUCUUAAAGGAGUGAAGAUGGAGAAUAAAAAGAAGUGGAGCUAAGGCAGAUACAAUGCUAAUACAUCAAGGAGACAUUGAUGUUUCCUACUUUAUGUAUUGUUUGUAUGUAUAUUUAAAAGUAUUAUUAAUUAUGUUUGGACUUCGGUGCCAGUUUGAUUGUUAGCCUCGCUGAAAGGCUAAUUAGAUAGUUAGCUUCAGCUACAAGACUAGCCGUGCUGGGCACUGACACUAGCAAUAUGGUGCGUUGUAGUUAUGCUUUUUGCUAUCAUGUUUUUGUAAAAGGUCUUUUAUUUAUAUAUAUAUAUAUGUAGUAAAUGUUCAAACUCAAAUGAAGCUCCAUUUGUACACUGUGUAUCCUAAAUUGCUACAUUGUUAGCAUUAACGGACAAAAAUGUGUUCUUCAAAAACGCCCUAAAAAUAGCAUAUGUAUUAGCAUAUAGCAUAUUUUUCUUCUUUUUACUUUACAAAAUCUUUAAAUCCACUUCAGUCCUAAUCACAAAUACUAAAAGUCUGAUUAUUUUCUGAAUUUAACCCUUUUUAUGCCAGUGUUUGCGAUGGAAUCAAAAUGUCAAUUUUUUUUUUUUUUACCCAGAUGAAUUUGUGUAUCAAACCCAAAAAUUGAAAUAUUUGCAGUAAUCUAAAUGCAAAGUGGAUUUUUCUAGGGGGGAUUAUUGGGGCCUUGGACAUGUCAAUGAUUAGUAGCAACAUUGAUUUUGAUGGAUUUUUAUUUAAUCAUUUAUUUAUUUCUUUUGUGCCACCCGAUUUAAAAACCCAUUGACUUCCAUUGAAACUGCUGCUGCACUUUUUCUUUUCUCACAUUUGGACUCGUUCUCUACGACUUUCAAGUAACACAAUAAAAGAUUUAGUUGAAAAACCCUCAAAUACGCACUCACACAGACACACAAAGCCCUGUCCAUAGGCCAUGUUGACUUUACUGUUUUAUUUGUUUGUUUUGUUUGUUUUCCUGAACUUUAUUCAGAGACUUCUUGUAGAUAAACGUCCUGUGUUGGUCGGUGUUUGGUCUGUUUGUGAGUGUUUUUCAGUUCAAGUUUCAGUUGUAGAAGUUGAAGAUGAAGUAAGAUAAAAAAUAAACCGUGUCCUGUCGUGGGUCAGUUUUA
This is an RNA transcript of Mugil cephalus (flathead mullet), 2638 nucleotides long. It is a transcript of the gene named CD48 antigen-like, with no coding region annotated. NCBI's taxonomy places the organism in Eukaryota, Metazoa, Chordata, Actinopteri, Mugiliformes, Mugilidae. The transcript has 10 exons. The record is from RefSeq and is a predicted model, not a curated record.